GAAGCUGAAGCCUGGGAUAUUUAGUGAAAUGGAAACCGUGAACCAGAGGGUUGUGUGAGGCACUGCAAUCCUCUGCUGGAAUAGUCAGGCAACUGUGGAGAGUGCUCUGGCAGCAAAACCACUCCAGGCACCCAAGCUCCAGCCAGCUGGGGUUGCCCUCCCUAAGAAGUCCUGACUUAAAUAACGAUUUCAUGUCAUGCUAAGAAAGGCUUGCGAGCUCUUUUGCUGCAUUUCUGCUCUCUUGCUUUUUGCUCCAGGUCCCCUCCAGCCCUGGUGUGUGGCAGAGCCCCAGCAGUCUCAGUGAGAGGUGGGUGUGAGGCACACAGCACUCACACACAGAUGCAUUUAAGGCAACAUGUGCCAAGUGCCUGUGCCUUCUUAUGUGCCUGUGGCUGCUGGUUUCCAAGAGCCUGGAUGUGGAAGAUCCACAGCCCUUCCCACAGCUCUCACCCUGCAGCACAGCCAAAACCCUUUGCAUGUGGAGGGGCAGCUGGGAAGAGCCCCUGGCCAGGGGGGAGAGUGGAGGUCACUGCUGUGUGCUGAGGCUGUGAGAUCCAGGCUGCCACAGCCAGGUUUUUAGCAGUGAUCAUGUAACACGGAGCUGUGGGAGCCCCCAAUUUUUUUCUGUGGUGCCUUUGCCUCAGAUACCCCUCUUUGAGCCCUGCCUGCCUGUAAAUAUAGAAACAUAAGCCCUGGAGAUUUUUUUUCUCCAAACAUGUCCCUCCCAUCUCAGCAUCAUCUGUGCAAUUCCUCCAGCUGCUCCUAUACAUGGUAUGACCUUUUUUUUCCCCUUCCCUUGCUUCCCCCUCCAUCUCACCCCUUCCCCGCCCAUCCCUGCUCCCUUCCCUGCCCAGCACAGGGAGCCUGGGGCCAAUCAGCUCCUCCAGACGAUCAAAUGUCACUAUAAGUUGAGAGCUGCAUCACCUUGGGACGCUUGCAGAUCCCAGCCUGCCCGUCCCCUCUGACAGGGAGCUUGGUGCUUCUCUCCACUCCUCCCAGAAACUAAUCGCCAACAUGUCUGAUACCGAGGAAGUGGAACAAGGAGAG
Molecule: long non-coding RNA, 1047 nt
Organism: Passer domesticus (house sparrow)
Lineage: Eukaryota; Metazoa; Chordata; Aves; Passeriformes; Passeridae
Exons: 3
Source: RefSeq, a predicted model, not a curated record